This 253-nucleotide ribosomal RNA is filed under the name uncultured bacterium. RNAcentral describes it as "partial 16S ribosomal RNA". It matches the Rfam family "Bacterial small subunit ribosomal RNA", at positions 524 to 776 of the family's 1533-position model. The record is from RNAcentral.
UACAGAGGUCUCAAGCGUUGUUCGGAUUCAUUGGGCGUAAAGGGUGCGUAGGCGGCGCGGUAAGUCGGGUGUGAAAUCUCGGAGCUUAACUCCGAAACUGCAUUCGAUACUGCCGUGCUUGAGGACUGGAGAGGAGACUGGAAUUUACGGUGUAGCGGUGAAAUGCGUAGAUAUCGUAAGGAAGACCAGUGGCGAAGGCGGGUCUCUGGACAGUUCCUGACGCUGAUGCACGAAAGCGUGGGGAGCAAACAGG